UUUUAAAUGGUAGUCAACGCUU
This 22-nucleotide small nuclear RNA is filed under the name Arabidopsis thaliana (thale cress). RNAcentral's name for it is "snRNA_10996". Lineage: Eukaryota; Viridiplantae; Streptophyta; Magnoliopsida; Brassicales; Brassicaceae. The record is from RNAcentral.